This is a long non-coding RNA of Melanotaenia boesemani (Boeseman's rainbowfish), 234 nucleotides long. RefSeq lists it as uncharacterized. The record is from RefSeq and is a predicted model, not a curated record. The transcript has 3 exons. NCBI's taxonomy places the organism in Eukaryota, Metazoa, Chordata, Actinopteri, Atheriniformes, Melanotaeniidae.
GUGAAACAUUUUAAAUACUCAAUUUAAAGUUAUGUGAUUUGAUUUUUGUCUCUUUUUAGCUCAAGCAUUUAAAAUAAAAAAAACUGGAGUUUGAGAAGACCGAACUGAAACAGCAGUACCAAGCACAGGCUGGAGAACUGCUCACCAUCAAAGCCAGAGCUAACAUCACAGGAAACCAGUCAAACAAGUGGCUUUCUCAGCCUCUUUGUUGGACGUUGGUAUGGGAACUGUUGG